This 35-nucleotide transfer RNA is filed under the name Mussaenda raiateensis. RNAcentral's name for it is "partial tRNA-Phe". Lineage: Eukaryota; Viridiplantae; Streptophyta; Magnoliopsida; Gentianales; Rubiaceae. RNAcentral also lists the same sequence under 5 other names. The record is from RNAcentral.
UCCUCGUGUCACCAGUUCAAAUCUGGUUCCUGGCA